Long non-coding RNA from Zea mays, 2557 nucleotides. RefSeq lists it as uncharacterized. Lineage: Eukaryota; Viridiplantae; Streptophyta; Magnoliopsida; Poales; Poaceae. The record is from RefSeq and is a predicted model, not a curated record. The transcript has 4 exons.
AGAUAUUCCUGGAAGGAGAAUUCCUCACGUCACCUGCAACUUCAACUGUUACACGGCUUCACCACGUUAAACUCCCAGCAAAACCCCAAGUCGUCACCUGCCCCAGCGUUUACUCACCUUGUUCCCUAGCCCCGGCGGCCACCCUGUCCUUGAUCAUUUCCAAGUUGUGUUGCAGCGAGCUUCUACGUAGUUCUUCCCCACCCGCUCGCUCCCAGCCUGUCUGGUCCUGCGUACUUCGACGCCGUUCUCCAGACGUGACAGCUCCAUCGCUGGUCGUCCAAUCCAUGUUGAUCCUGACUGAUCUCGCACGAGCACUGAAGGCGUGAGUGCCAAGAAGGAGAUUCUGAAGAGGAGUCUACUCCUGUGCCUGCUCAUCAAGAGGAUGGAGCUAUCUAACUGAUGGUUGGGUAGAGGGAUCGAGUACCUCUUCACUGCAACAAAGGCAAGCCCUGUUUAUAGGGAUUGCUUGGAAACUACUUGAUGCAUUGACUACCUUGAUAUCCAUUCCUUUAUAGAUACUUCUAUUUAAGUAUCAAAAUAUGAUUUACAAAAAUGCUUAGCCCUGCUUAGAUCUUGUGGAUAGAAGUUGUCUUUUGCAAUAAUGCCUAGCUCAGGGGUUAUCCUGAGGAAGGAUGGCUUCUACCUGCAAGAAUAUUUUCAUAUGAAGCAUAGUGGGAUUUUACUGCAAAGUUCCCCAUAAUUCUCUAUUCAUCCUAAGGAACACAAAACAAUCCUAAGGAUGGAAGUACUUAAAUCGAGACUUGGGCUAGGAACAGGUGAUGCUCCACCUAGGUUAAUUAAGGAUUGGAUGCGUAUUGUAAGGCCCAAAACUUAUAUAAAAAAACGAUAAUAAAAAUAAUGAAUAAAUAUAUCUAUAUGAUAAUGCUUUGGGAUUAUGAAACCUAAGGCGAUUAAUUGAUCCCUUUUAGUUUAACGAGUUCAAGUAAUAGGAUUAUAUUAGUCGAAUAACAAAAUAAAUAAAUAAAUAAAAAUGGGCACCACAUAAUGAAAUUAUUGUAUUUGUAUUCAAAUUUGUGAAACAAGUUUGAGUUUAAAAAAAUUAGAAUUUGAAAAUAAAAAGGGAACAGAAAAGAAAAGGAUGGGAAUUUAAAGGAAAUCAUUUAUUUCCCCCUAAAAUAAAUGACAAGGAAAACAAUAAAUAAAAUAUUGGAAAUAAUAAAUGUUAUAUUUUCUUAAAGGGUGUGUUUGAUAUUUGAAAACUUGGGAGUUCAUAACAUGAGUUGAAUUGAAUUUAAAGGGAGGGAUUAUAAAUGGGAGAAGAAUAUAGAAAGGAAAAAGAGAAAAUAGAGAAAUCUCGGCUGGGCCGUUUUCCUCUUCGGCCGGCCCAACUCAGCUUCUCUCCCCGCUCAGCCCAUGGCGCUCACUUAUAGAUGUACAUGAGGCACGGGCCCGUUAACCUGGCCCGAGGCCCGUUUUUUUGGCCCGGUUCGCGCCCGGCCCGGCACGUAUGGGAUGGGCCCGGGCUGGCACGGCCCAGUGGAGCAGGCCGUGCCUGGGCCGCUGGCCAGGCACGUGGGCCGGCACGGCACGACCUGCUCCACGCGGACAGCCCGGUCGGGGCCCGUAGCCGACGACGCCCGUGCCCCUUACCUCCUCGCCUCCUCGCCCCAUGGGACCCACCUCUCAGUCCCUCCGCUCGCACUCGCAUUCGCACUCGCACCCUGCUCCCUCUCUCUCUCUCCCGACUCGGCGGCGAUUGACUUGGCGAUUGGCGAUUCCCCUCCGACGCCUCCGUCGCGGCGCCGCCCCUGUCCAGCGACCUCGGCUCCCGUCCCCGACGCCGGUGACCUCGAUCCACCAGCUCCUCUCUAACCCCUCUCCCCUAUCCAAUCCCCUCUCUCUCUCGGUGAACUAUGUGAGUUCGUGUUGUCGUCUCGUCCUCCCCUCCGGCCCUCCCCAGCUCGCCGUCGUCUCUAAUCGGUCUCUGUCUGUCGUGUGUCGUCUGGGUGGCCCCCGUGUUCUCCGGCAUCGGGCUCCGGUAGCACAGGUCAGUUGCUGAUGCCUCGUCUUCCUCCUCUGGGGUAGAUCGGGCACGGCGACUGCGUGCUCCGUUGAGGGACGGUGCUGGAGAUCGGCCGUCCGUGGUGAAGGUCGCCAUGGCAGAUGAUGACGAUGUCAAUCCGGUCACCGGCAACGACGACCUUCGUGCGGCAGGGCUUGUCCCAGAUGACGAAGACGACAUCCAGGCUGACGCUGCUGCUUUGCUCGGUAUCGAUCUAACCUCUGCUCCUGUCGAUCUAAGUUCUAAUCCGACCAACGCUGGUGGAGGGCCUGCUACGUCCACCGAUACUCCGGUCGGCUCCACCAGCAUCGAUGGUGGUACUGGUACCUCAUCUGUUGGUAAGCGUAAAUAUACUGUCUGGGUUGUGAGAGAGUCAUUUUGUAUUGUAAUAUACAUUUGUAACAGAUACAAACUUAGUGAUUAAACUUUGAGCUGGCUGCACUCUUUUUUCCUUUCUAGGGUUUCUCACAAGGGUGAGUUUUACCUAGAAAGGUUUUUAAUGAGGCAGCAUUGCACAAAACAGCUCAUUUAUUA